RNAcentral lists this long non-coding RNA (1948 nucleotides) under Homo sapiens (human). Its description in RNAcentral is "HSALNT0153932". The record is from RNAcentral. Lineage: Eukaryota; Metazoa; Chordata; Mammalia; Primates; Hominidae.
CUUUGUUAAUUUAAGUAAGUUGGUUUCCCAAGGUAACAAGAAUGAUGAGUGAGAAACCUGGACUCAAGUCUUCUGACUUCAAAUUCAGUGUUUGUUUAAACUAUUACGGAAUCUUUUGGAUGGCCUAUUAUACUAAUGAAGUCUUCAUUAUUUAGCAAAUGAGAGCAUUCCAACUUCCUUAUUUGAUUUCUUACUUCUCUGCAUACUGAAGGGAAGCCUGCAUAUAGGCAGAUCCCCACCUACUUACUCACAGUAAGUACCAAAUCAGUAUUCCAUAAAGUCAUGCUAUUCCCACCAGCUUUUUAUCCUAAUUAACUGAACACUCCAUGUAUAUUUAUUAUGAUCAAAAAAUAAAAGAUCAAUUUGAGAAAAAUUGUAAACAUAAAAGGAUGGAACCCAAACAAAAUCAAUUUUUUUUUUUCUGAAGGAAAUAAAAGUAAUGCAGGGGAAAAAAGAAAAUGUCUUUUUAAAAGAUGCACUAGUGAUAUCCUUAGAAGCUUAAGUGAAUAUUGUAUCAUACAAGUGAGUUUGUUAUGACAACAGAGACAUCAAGGAAAUUCUUAGAAAUUAAAAAUAUAGUUUUUAAGACCAAAACACUCAGAAUGACAGAAUAGUCAUACUGGAGACCACAUUCAUAAUAUGAAGAAAAAGUAAAAGGAAUCUUCAAGAGAGUAGAAUAUUAAGACAUGCAGAAAAUAUGAGAAGAAAAAUUUGAAGUCAUAGAGAAAGAAAAAAGAAAAAAAAUAGAGAAAAUGUACCUUUCUAAAAAGCUUUGGUCUUUAGAUCAAAAAGGCCCACCUAGGCUGGGUGCAGUGGCUCACUCCUAUAAUCUCGAUACUUUGGAAGGCCAAGGUGGGAGGAUCACUUGAGCACAGGACUUCAAGACUCAGUAUGUGCAACACACUGAGAACUUAUCUCUACCAAAAAAAAGUAAAUAAAUAAAUAAAAGUAGCCUGGUAUGGUGGCUCAUGCCUGUAGUCCUAGCUACUUGGGAGGCUGAAGCAGGAGGAUUGCUUUAGCCCAAGCAGUCAAGGCUGCAGUGAGCCAUGGUCACACAACUGCACUACAGCCUGAGUUACAGAGUGAGAUCUUGUCUCAAAAAAACCAAAACAAAACAAAAACCAACCAACCAAACAAACAAAAAAACAAGGCCCACCUAAAACUGAGUAGCAAUAAUUCUUAAAAAUACACCUAAUAUAUUCUUGUCAAUUUGUGAAAUUUAUGAACUCUAGAAAAAAAAGAAAAAUCCUAAACUUUUUAAGAGAGACAUCAGAUUUACUUGUAAAGAAAUAAGAAAAAGACUUCUCAUCUGCAACAGAGGAUAUCUACUAAAACUAAAGAAAAGGGAUUUUAAAACUCUCAUUCUGCAUGCAGCAAAAUUAUUAUCCAACAAUGCGAGCAAAAUGAAGACUUCCAAUCGUGCACAAAUUCAGGAAAUAUUUUACAUCUUCACACUCUGAAAAAAGUACCUAAUGAUUUCCUCCAGCAAAAUAACAAAAGAUAAGAAAUAAUGAGGAAAGACAACAACACAAAAACUAAAAAUAAAUGUCCCAAGUAGACCUAAAUUCCUCUAAUUUGUGUGGUGCCCGUAUGUAUGGUUAUAAGCAUGUCAGAGAAGAGAAGAUGAAGGUUACAUCAUUGUAAGAUUGACAGUUUGCAAGUAGCAGAUGCUUACAGGACAGGAGGCCAUGAGAUUUAAAGAUGCUGGUAAGGCAGUGUUUGAUGAUACAUCACCAGGUAGAAGAAAGAACUAAGUAUGGAAGGAAAUAAAAGCCCCAUUGGGGAAUCAAUGGAAAGGAGAACAGAGACGAAUCAAGGUAAGAGAACAUGAUGAUGCUGGUGAUGUUGAGGUUGUAUAGCAAGAGUAGGAGAAUGAGAGAGACUGAGACACUGUUGUUAGCUGAGAAGGAGACAAUGGAAGUUUGUGCCCACAAACUCUACUUGGAGG